UGCCUAACACAUGCAAGUCGAACGGCAGCACGGGGGCAACCCUGGUGGCGAGUGGCGAACGGGUGAGUAAUACAUCGGAACGUGCCCUGAAGUGGGGGAUAACGUAGCGAAAGUCACGCUAAUACCGCAUAUUCUGUAGAAACAAGAAAGCAGGGGAUCUUCGGACCUUGUGCUUUAGGAGCGGCCGAUGUCGGAUUAGCUAGUUGGUGAGGUAAGAGCUCACCAAGGCGACGAUCCGUAGCGGGUCUGAGAGGAUGAUCCGCCACACUGGGACUGAGACACGGCCCAGACUCCUACGGGAGGCAGCAGUGGGGAAUUAUGGACAAUGGGCGCAAGCCUGAUCCAGCCAUGCCGCGUGAGUGAAGAAGGCCUACGGGUUGUAAAGCUCUUUCGGCGGGGAAGAAAUGGCACUGGCUAAUACCUAGUGUAGAUGACGGUACCCGCAUAAGAAGCACCGGCUAACUACGUGCCAGCAGCCGCGGUAAUACGUAGGGUGCGAG
RNAcentral lists this ribosomal RNA (500 nucleotides) under uncultured bacterium. RNAcentral's name for it is "bacterial SSU rRNA". It matches the Rfam family "Bacterial small subunit ribosomal RNA", at positions 45 to 538 of the family's 1533-position model. The record is from RNAcentral.